GUUACAUAGUUGCCCAGUUACCCCAGCUUCUGAGAUGAAGAAUAUUAUUGAAGUCAAAUCUGGUGGCUAUCACACUCCAUGGAACUCGGGGCAACAUUUAGGUACCUCUACCCAGGAAAGAAUCUCUGAGAAAUAGGUGGCAGGUUCUCUAGCAGCAUAAGAAGAACCUUGAUAAGCAUCAUCCUUAAGUCCUGACAGCAGUGGAUGACUAGUCAGGAACCUGUCCAGGAAUAUUCAGCACAAUAAGCAUUGAAGAAACAAACGGCAAUGCGAGCUCAAAGGAUUCCAAGCCAUUAUGAACUGACUCUUCAAAUAAGUGCUUAUUUUCACAUAACCAGGGAGCUUCUGGAUUAACUUCCAUAUAAGACAUAUUUAUUAAAAGAUUUGCACCCCUAUUGCUGGCACUGGGUGGAGCUCCCCAAGCCAGGCCCUGCCCUUGGCACUCUUCUGCCGGUUAUUCUAGCCCAUGACCCCAGAGCCAGGGAGAAUCUCACCAGUACAGCCCAGGGCACCUCCAAUAACAUCUGAGCAGAGUGAGGGAGAAGAAACACACG
This 554-nucleotide long non-coding RNA is filed under the name Pongo abelii (Sumatran orangutan). Its description in RNAcentral is "lincRNA". Lineage: Eukaryota; Metazoa; Chordata; Mammalia; Primates; Hominidae. The record is from RNAcentral.